Non-coding RNA from Phrynosoma platyrhinos (Desert horned lizard), 72 nucleotides. The record is from the annotation of a GenBank genome assembly. Lineage: Eukaryota; Metazoa; Chordata; Lepidosauria; Squamata; Phrynosomatidae.
GCCAGCAUGCCAUAGUGGUUUGAGUACUGGACUACAACUCUGGUGGCCAGGGUUUGAAUCCCAGCUUGGUCA